GCUUCUUAAAUGUCUUCCCAUCUAUUUAUUCAGAAAUAUAACACAAAAUCGAUUAUCAUAUAUCAUACAUAUAUAUAUAUGCUUGGAGCCUGUUUGGAACUAACAAGGAGCAGGGGAAGCAGGGCUUUUUAGGUUGCAAAAGACUAGGUAAGCCCAAAAUGCUUAAUCAAGCUUCACAUAUAACUACAUAUGAUGGAAGUUUUUAUUUGAUUGGAUCAAAAAACUCCAAACCAAAAAAUGUACAGCUUCAAAACCAAUUUAACUAUUAUUGCCCAUCACUUCGUCGGCAACUAAAAGUAACAUGAAACCUUAAAGCCAAAAAAAGUUAACUAUUCAGCAUUCUGAUGAACAAACACCUUUACUCAAAGUGCAAAACAACCAUUUUAGCCUAGUCGUGAAUCAAAAGCAAAUAAAUAAACAAAUAAAUAAAU
RNAcentral lists this unclassified non-coding RNA (431 nucleotides) under Hevea brasiliensis (rubber tree). The record is from RNAcentral. Lineage: Eukaryota; Viridiplantae; Streptophyta; Magnoliopsida; Malpighiales; Euphorbiaceae.